GUCGAACGCUGGCGGCGUGCUUAACACAUGCAAGUCGAACGGAAAGACCCUGCUUUUGUGGGGUGCUCGAGUGGCGAACGGGUGAGUAACACGUGAGUAACCUGCCCUUGACUUUGGGAUAACUUCAGGAAACUGGGGCUAAUACCGGAUAGGAGCUCCUGCUGCAUGGUGGGGGUUGGAAAGUUUCGGCGGUUGGGGAUGGACUCGCGGCUUAUCAGCUUGUUGGUGGGGUAGUGGCUUACCAAGGCUUUGACGGGUAGCCGGCCUGAGAGGGUGACCGGCCACAUUGGGACUGAGAUACGGCCCAGACUCCUACGGGAGGCAGCAGUGGGGAAUAUUGCACAAUGGGCGGAAGCCUGAUGCAGCACCGCCGCGUGCGGGAUGACGGCCUUCGGGUUGUAAACCGCUUUCGCCUGUGACGAAGCGUGAGUGACGGUAAUGGGUAAAGAAGCACCGACUAACUACGUG
RNAcentral lists this ribosomal RNA (468 nucleotides) under uncultured bacterium. RNAcentral's name for it is "partial 16S ribosomal RNA". It matches the Rfam family "Bacterial small subunit ribosomal RNA", at positions 28 to 507 of the family's 1533-position model. The record is from RNAcentral.